This 505-nucleotide ribosomal RNA is filed under the name uncultured bacterium. RNAcentral describes it as "partial 16S ribosomal RNA". It matches the Rfam family "Bacterial small subunit ribosomal RNA", at positions 28 to 507 of the family's 1533-position model. The record is from RNAcentral.
GACGAACGCUGGCGGCGUGCCUAAUACAUGCAAGUAGAACGCACAGUUUAUACCGUAGCUUGCUACACCAUAGACUGUGAGUUGCGAACGGGUGGGUAACGCGUAGGUAACCUGCCUGGUAGCGGGGGAUAACUAUUGGAAACGAUAGCUAAUACCGCAUAAUAUUGAUUAUUGCAUGAUAAUUAAUUGAAAGGUGCAAUUGCACCACUACCAGAUGGACCUGCGUUGUAUUAGCUAGUAGGUGAGGUAACGGCUCACCUAGGCGACGAUACAUAGCCGACCUGAGAGGGUGAUCGGCCACACUGGGACUGAGACACGGCCCAGACUCCUACGGGAGGCAGCAGUAGGGAAUCUUCGGCAAUGGACGAAAGUCUGACCGAGCAACGCCGCGUGAGUGAAGAAGGUUUUCGGAUCGUAAAGCUCUGUUGUAAGAGAAGAACGGGUGUGAGAGUGGAAAGUUCACACUGUGACGGUAUCUUACCAGAAAGGGACGGCUAACUACGUG